Molecule: ribosomal RNA, 297 nt
Filed under: uncultured bacterium
Lineage: Bacteria
Description: partial 16S ribosomal RNA
Rfam family: Bacterial small subunit ribosomal RNA
Source: RNAcentral
GCACCCUACGGGGCGCAGCAGUAGGGAAUCUUCCACAAUGGACGAAAGUCUGAUGGAGCAACGCCGCGUGAGUGAAGAAGGGUUUCGGCUCGUAAAGCUCUGUUGGUAGUGAAGAAAGAUAGAGGUAGUAACUGGCCUUUAUUUGACGGUAAUUACUUAGAAAGUCACGGCUAACUACGUGCCAGCAGCCGCGGUAAUACGUAGGUGGCAAGCGUUGUCCGGAUUUAUUGGGCGUAAAGCGAGUGCAGGCGGUUCAAUAAGUCUGUCGGGUAAGCCUUCGGCUCAACCGGAGAAUUG